CUUACCCAUCAUGUUAUAAUUUAACUGUUUUUCCCUUUGAAGGUCACAGACUUAAAAGACUUGUCCAAGGUCACAUAACUAUUGAGUGUCAAAGUCAGUGCUCAACCCCAGUCUGAAAUCCAGGUUACUGCCAAGACAGACUCUGAAUUAUAUCACUGAGCUGUGCUUAGUUAUGAAUCACUUUAUAAGCUCUCAGACAGUAUAGUAUUAACUUCAUUUUAUUGCUUCUUAUACAACAUCUCACAUACAGUUGCACUUCGUAAAUGAUUUUGAUAAUUGUCAUACCAAUGAUCAGAAAAAAGCUCGUGGUUCUUGGGGAACCACAGAGAGAUUAUUGUUCAGGUCUGCUGAGGCCACAAAGCUCCACAGGGCUCCUAAGUCCUUGGCAUCAUCCAGUGUCGGUAGCUGUAGGGUUCACUUUGGGGCAUGGUUUAAUAAGGGCAAGCUGUCAACAGAGAUGGAUACUGGAAGCAGCUUAUUCAAAGAUGGCACAAGAAGACGGCCUCAAACUCUUUAAGUUAAAGGAGUCAUAACCCAGUGUCGUGUUAGAGAAAUCACUACAUCCUGCCUGGACACACAGGCUGGGAAAAGGAGCAAAUGGCAAAUCAGCAUGGGAGGUGGGGGAGUGUGGAGAUUUGGGAAGUGGGGUGAAACUUGUAGGUAUGGAGAUUGGCCUCUGAACAUAAUUCCUGCAAAAUCAUCCAGGUGUCUUCUCAGGAACACAGGCACUAGGUCAAACAAAUGCUGGUAUCUCCAUUUCUGUGGGCAGACAACCAAAGAAAACCCUCCAGGCCAGCCCUUGUUCAUCAAGAUGUAUGCUGCAGGCAGCGACUUCUCAAAGGCCUUGGCACAAUCGUGGCAAAGCCAUUACCUGUGCGCGUGUCCUCUCUGAUGGGGCACCCUAUAAUUCAUCUGCCUGAAGGCGGUGCCUUUUCUCUAGUCACCAAAAAGGGAUGGUACAUUCUAGGAGCCAUCCUGGAUUGUGGCAAACUGGCAGCCACUACUCAACUCCAGUUACCAUGUAGGAAAUCGGGCCCAGUGUUGCCAAAACUUCAACUUCUUUUAAGAAGGGCCAAACUUCAGAUUUCUUUUUACAUGAAAAUCUCCUGGCUUGUACUUUUUGGCAACAACCCAAAUCAUUGUAAGUGUUGUACAAGC
Molecule: long non-coding RNA, 1158 nt
Filed under: Equus caballus (horse)
Lineage: Eukaryota; Metazoa; Chordata; Mammalia; Perissodactyla; Equidae
Description: lncRNA (ENSECAG00000048233.1)
Source: RNAcentral